Molecule: long non-coding RNA, 2099 nt
Organism: Acinonyx jubatus (cheetah)
Lineage: Eukaryota; Metazoa; Chordata; Mammalia; Carnivora; Felidae
Exons: 4
Source: RefSeq, a predicted model, not a curated record
CUGACUUUCCGGAAAUAACAGCUACAGCCAGGUCCUGCUCAAGCCCUGCUGGCUUUGGGACGAGUCUGGGCCUGAACAUGAGCAAGAGAAAGUCAAAGGGAAAUAGUUACAUCAACUUAUUUUGAAUACAUCACUUGGGUGAGUUGAAGAGGCUAGCCUUUAUCCCAAGUGGUGCUCAAAUAACAUCAUCAAGCCAUUCUAUCAGUAUUUUGUAGAAACAGCAGCAAAAAAAUGUGAGAAAAAUUGCAAACUGUCCACUCUGACUAGUCAGGGCCAGUUACUAUGUUGACAGCCGUUCUUAUUCAAGAUAAACUAUAUUGGAUUUAGAGAUGAGGCCAAUUUUUAAAAAAUAUAUCCAAUUUUCAGCAACUAUUCUGAGUGCCUAUUGUAUGUUAGGCAUCAUGAGGAUUAAUUAUAGAAACAUGAGCUGAAUCUUCAGUCCACACUUUGAUGAUGGAGGAAACAAUGGAGGACCUAUAAGAAACCAAAAGGCUAUUCUACGGUGGACUUAGACCUGACAAAAGUGACAGCUUUAGAGGAGGGACACGUUUGUCCAUUGGCCCAGUCCCCACCUGGCUCUCUUCAUUUUUUCAUAUUUCCUGCCUGACCUUGGAGCCAUUUGAUUCAUGACAUAUCCAUUAUCAUGUUCACAUGAGUAAAAAGUAAAAAGUCCUGGAAAAGCAUGGGAAAACCUGGAAUCUAAUCCUGUCUCUGGCAUUUACCAAGAUGGGGUUUGAGAUCAACUACUUGAUCUCUCUGAGCCUCAUUUUCUCCCUUUAUAAGAAAUGGAAGACUUAAAACCAGAUGCCUACUUCAGCAAAUACUUCAGAGAAGAUCUUCAUUUAGAGGAUAAUCAGCAAAAAAAGGUUUGUGUCUAUGACUUUUAUCAAUUUUCAGAGGGGGAGGAUGGUGGUGAAUUGCUAGUGUGUAUUUGAAGUGGGAAGGGAAAUCAGUAAGUUUGGGGCAGGAGUGCAAAGGGAGGAUGGCAGCCACAGAAAGGGCACUGGGAAGAGUUCUUGGCUUUCAUCAGUGGUCCCUGGGAUGGAGAGAGAUAGAGAAGCUCUAUCUCAGUUUAGUUCUAAACUAAAGAGACAUAGAGAAGCUCUGGAUGGAGAACAGGUAGUUUAGUUCUCCUGACUUUUAACAGAUAUUCUUUGCCUUGUGAAUCUUCUCAGCCAUGAUGAUGUUGCUUAAAGGAGCUUUAUCUCUGGGGAGUCAUUACUCACUAUGCCAAUGAAUGUUCAGAUGAACCACAGGCAAGACGGACCCUCAAUAGCUCACACUCUAUUGGGGGGCAGAUGCAGGUCCCCAUCCUAAGUUAGGAUUAAGUUUCUUCCCCUUCUUAUUGUUGGUUCCAGUCACUUUGGAUCUCUCGUAGAAAAUAGACUGAUUAGGGGUGCCUGUGUGACUCAGUUGGUUAAGCAGACUGACUCUUGAUUUUGGCUCAGGUUCUGAUUUUGUGCUUCAUGAGAUCGAGCCCCGUGUGGGCUUUGGAUUCUCUCUUUCUUUCUUUCUCUUUCUCUCUGCCCCUCCCCCACACUUUCUCUCUCACUCUAAUAAAUAAAUACUUAAGAAAAUAGACUAAUAUGUAAUUACAUAUUAUUAGUAUAUAUGUACAUAAAUCAUACACACACUCAUACACAUACUGUUAUCUUUGAGUUAAAAGAUGUGUGAUCUCUUGACUUUAUCUUGUAGGAACCCAGCAAUAUUGACAAAUAAAAUGUUGUAUUGCACUUCAUGUGCCUGAGAUUAAAAAAACAAGCAAACAAAAAAACCUCAUCUACUGUGUUUCAACAGCUUGUUUCUUUUAUGGAAUAUAACUCAAGUGACGGUAACCAGAGAAGUGACCCACUAGGAAGAGACUACUUAUUGCCAUAAAUAAGUAUCUGCAGGGGUGCCUGGGUGGCUCAGUCAGUUGAGGGGCUGACUUCGGCUCAGGUCAUGAUCUCACGGUUUGUGAGUUCGAGCCCCAUGUUGGGCUCUGUGCUGACAGCUCAGAGCCUGGAGCCUGCUUCUGAUUCUGUGUCUCCCUCUCUCUCUGCCCCUCCCCCACUCAUGCUCUGUCUCUGUCUCAGAAAUAAACAUUAAAAAAAUAAGUA